Molecule: ribosomal RNA, 733 nt
Filed under: uncultured archaeon
Lineage: Archaea
Description: bacterial SSU rRNA
Rfam family: Archaeal small subunit ribosomal RNA
Source: RNAcentral
GGAUAACCUACCCUUAGGACUGGGAUAACCCUGGGAAACUGGGGAUAAUACUAGAUAGGCAAUUUUUCCUGGAAUGGUUUUUUGUUUAAAUGUUUUUUCGCCUAAGGAUGGGUCUGCGGCCGAUUAGGUAGUUGGUUAGGUAACGGCUUACCAAGCCAUUGAUCGGUACGGGUUGUGAGAGCAAGAGCCCGGAGAUGGAACCUGAGACAAGGUUCCAGGCCCUACGGGGUGCAGCAGGCGCGAAACCUCCGCAAUGUGAGAAAUCGCGACGGGGGGAUCCCAAGUGCCAUUCUUAACGGGAUGGCUUUUCAUUAGUGUAAAGAGCUUUUGGAAUAAGGGCUGGGCAAGACCGGUGCCAGCCGCCGCGGUAACACCGGCAGCUCUAGUGGUAGCAGUUUUUAUUGGGCCUAAAGCGUCCGUAGCCGGUUUAAUAAGUCUCUGGUGAAAUCCUGUAGCUUAACUGUGGGAAUUGCUGGAGAUACUAUUAGACUUGAGACCGGGAGAGGUUAGAGGUACUCCCAGGGUAGAGGUGAAAUUCUGUAAUCCUGGGAGGACCGCCUGUUGCGAAGGCGUCUAACUGGAACGGUUCUGACGGUGAGGGACGAAAGUUAGGGGCGCGAACCGGAUUAGAUACCCGGGUAGUCCUAACUGUAAACGAUGCGGACUUGGUGUUGGGGUGGCUUUGAGCUGCUCCAGUGCCGAAAGGGAAGCUGUUAAGUCCGCCGCCUGGGAA